Long non-coding RNA from Oenanthe melanoleuca, 4032 nucleotides. RefSeq lists it as uncharacterized. Lineage: Eukaryota; Metazoa; Chordata; Aves; Passeriformes; Muscicapidae. The transcript has 3 exons. The record is from RefSeq and is a predicted model, not a curated record.
CGCCCCGGAGCGGCCCUGACCCCUGAUCCCGCAUUCCUCCGGCUGCGCCCCCCCAGCGCACGCUCUCACCCCCCCAGCGCGGCUUUUUAUUUUCCGUCCUGAUGUGUUUUAAAUGUGAGUCCCCGGAGCUGCCGGCCGCCCCCCGCCCCCGGCAGCGCGUUAUUUCGAGGCGGGCAGCGGGUCCGGCGGGAAGGGGCGAGGGGGGCGGCGGGGCGGUUGCCAGGGGCGUUCGGGGGAAUCCGCUGUUUCCCUUCCCCUGUGCUGCCCGCUCGGCCCUCGUCCCUCCCCCGGGCACAGGGGACGCGGGGCGGUGGAUCGGGGGUGCCGCGGGGUACCCGGUGUCCGGCGGCGAACGGUCCCGGCGCUUUGGUACCACCGAAAAAAGAUGCUCUCUAUGAAUAGAGAGAGUGCCUAUUUACUCUGAAAUACUUGGCACAGCGAGUGGAGUCUGAAGCAUGGAAGAAGUGGCUAUUAUUUUCCCACUGCCUGUGUGCAGCUGUCAUUUCUGAGCAACACGUUCCUCGCACAUCCCUGCUUCCAACCUUGCUGAUGGUCCGUCCCAGGAUUACAACAAGAAGAGAAUGGCGUGCCACCUCACUCAGCCAAAACCUUAACACUGUGGUUUGUAUUUGACUGAACCCAGGACCUAAGCAUUGUGGCUUGUAUUAAGUCAUUGCAGAUAACUGCUAUGAUUGUUGUUGCUUUUUUUUUUUUCUUUUUUUUAUCUGGGAGGAUGGCUCUUCCCCCGCCUCCUGUGUCUGAUUUGAAUAUUCAGUGAUGUCAUGUUGUUUGACCUCCGCUUUAACGCAAGGAAUGCCAAUGUUUUGGCUUUUGACCUGUGGAAGUAUGUUAGUGUUUAGUAAGGGAGACCAGCUUAAUGCAACACAUUAAGCAAUCUAAAAUCUGGUAGUUACCUUAAGAGAUCUCAUCUUUUGUGUGCAGGCUUUCCCCCUCUGCCAUUCUCCCUAGCUCCCCACUUUUUCCAUCCCUCCAUAUCUAGGCAUACUUCCAUGCUAUCAUGCAGCAAUAAAACAGGAUUCACGAAGGGAAAAGAAGGUCUUCCAGGUAACGCCCCAUAGGACCAUUGUGCUGUAAAACUGCUACUUACAUUCUGCCAGCAUUGGACUGUGUCUGGUAAAGUAAUUUGGAUGUCAUUUCUUCUACUUGAAAUUCUCCCUUAAAAGAAAUGAGAUUGGCUUUGAAAGAAAAAAUGAAUCCCAGAAGAAGAGUUAUGGUAAAUAAUAUAUGUUCCCAAAACCAUGAGGUCUCCUAAAAUCUGUGUUUACUUGAAGGACUCCAGUGGCCUCAGUGCUGGGUAAAUAGUAUGUGUACCAAACUAUGUAUGACAUGCAUACCAAAAUGCAAAUGUAACCAGGUAAACAGAAUGCCUUUUUUAAAUGCCUAAAUAUGGUAGGAGAACAUCAGAGAGAGAGAGAGAAGCUCUAGACAUGUUUUAUAACUUUCCAUGUAAGAGGUUUUUUCAGAGAUACAAUUUUAUUAAACAAAACCUAAGGAUCUCACUGACAGAAAAAGUAUGUUUAAAAGUAACAAACUACCAGAAAACCAGGAAAUCCAAAAUUAAAGGAUAAAUCUGUCCUAAGUCCUCCCACUGCAGGCCAAGUACAGCAAGCCCCAUACACUUGCUGCCCUGAGAAAAACGGCUUGAAUAGUUAAUUGAAUUCAGAACUAAUUCUGGUCUUGCACCACUGUGGAUCAGGCAUUAGCCCACUAAAUUACAAGUUGUAUCAGCACAUGCUGGUAGGUAAGAAUCAGAGUCCACAGGAGUGCCUUUUGGUCCUCUUGGUUUCCACGGCUAGAUGUGUCACAAUGGGUACCUCAUUGGUGUGUGUGUGUGUAAGCACAGGGGCAGAGGGAACUUGGAAGCAAAGGCAGUUCUUGCAGACUCCAUCAGUCUUCAGCUUGUCCCUUCUGAUGACAAUCACGGAAUCCUCAAGGUUGGAAGAGACCUUCAAGAUCAUUUAGUCCAGCCAGCAAUGUGACCCCAGCAUAAUCACCCCUAAACCAAAUCCCUGGAUGCCACAUCCAGGUGCCUCUUGAGUAUGCCACAGGUUGGACAAGUACAUCUUGGUAUUGAUGCAUAAAAUGGUUAAAAUGCACUAAUUUUGACUUCCAUGCAGGUGUUUAUACAGCACAUGCUUUUAAGAUAGUAUAUUUUUUCUGCUGAAACUAGGAAUUCACUACACCAGCCUUGCAGACUUGUUUACACAGCUAUAUACGGGAUGUGUGUGUCUACAUCAGCUUCAGUUGGUGAAGUCUUGUAAAAUCUACAGGUGUGGAUUGCUACAUUCCUGUCUUGUGUUUUUCCUUCUUUUUUUUUUUUUUCCUGCUUCCCCCCAAAAAGUCACUUGAUCAGGUAUCAGACAUAGUGAAAACCUGGCAAGACUACAGGAAAGUGGCUAGACUUGGAGUGUUUGUGUACUUAAAGAAAGAAUCUUGCACAUUUUCAACUUUCAGUCACAGAUAUUUUUUUAUAAGAGCAAUUGGAGGUCUGAGCCAGCCCUCAAAGCGGAAAUCAAAAGCUCCCAGAGAAACAUACCCGAGGAAUGUGAAUCUGAUCCAAGAACCAUACGCAAUGCACAUACAGUACUGUCAGUCUUAUAGGAAGUCUUGCCAUAUAUGGACAUCUGGACCCUGAGCUGUUUAUCAUCACGAUAGGCUUGGAGCUGGCUUCAGACAUUUCUGGCUUGCCUCAGGGUUAGUGUGCCAAUUAGUUCCUUUCCCAAAAUGCUCACCAGGAUAUUUCUUUAAAAUUGUAAUAAAUACAUCUCAAAAUUCUGAGCGGUCUGGUUAAAGUUACGUUAGUAGGCUUUUGCUUAAAAUGCAGAUUCCAAGAAAGACUUACUCUGCUAGCUCAGAAAUAGACACAGAAUAAAAAUAAAGAGAUUGAUUCCAUCAUGAAUGUGGUUGCCUGGUAUUUCUCUUUCUUAGAAUUCAUCUGGUAGCUUAUUCUAUGUAUCUGUAGGCAUAGAAAGGGCUCUGAAGUAGACCACUUGCUGAACUUUUACUCAUCCUUCUCUGGGGAGAUGUGUGAUCUCAUGAAUCAACAAAGGCAAAGAAAGGACCACAUUUCCCAGGAUCUGUCACACAACUUAUCCAUGUUUAGUAGUAGUUUAUUAGAGUGGUACAAAGCCUUUCACCUUGGAGCCAUGACAAUUCGUGUCAGCUAAUCUUACUAAUGAGAGCCAUUAGCUCUUCUCCAAAGUGAACCAGAAUAAGAAGGCAGGGAGGAGCAGUGGAUGGUGUAGGGUCUAUGGAAAUGUUUGCUGCUGAAAUGGUGGACCUGGUCCAAAUUCCUCAAAAUACUGGUUCAGAUUCUCUGCUAGCAUUGGUUGGGUUGUUCACUAAAUGCCCUGUUGACCAUCAGAAUACUGUGACUUGAAAAGCCCAAGUCCAUUGGGCAAAGCAAAAUCAUCAGAUGUGAUUCUCAUUAGUGGACCUGAGUUUUGUUUUCUGUAAUGUCAUUCUGUAUGUGUUAACAUGCAAAUAUUUUGUCACUUCUAGAGUCCUUGAGAAUGCUGCUUUAAGCAAUUGAUUUUAUUCUUAAAAAGUAACUGGAGUUUUUGUGAAUGUGUAUAGUCUUAAACCAGCAAAGUGAUUACUGGAAGUAGAAUAAUCUAAAUGGGUAUUCAAAGCACAUGUAAAACUGUUUGUGUGAAAGUGAGAUUAUGAGUACUGUGAAGCGAGAUGUCCUUUACCUACUGAGCCUCAGAUUCAGUUCAUCUUAUUUUAUUCUGAAAAGUUUGCCACAGAUCUGGUCUCAGAAGCACUGUAGGAGCAGCAUUCACUACUUCUGUGAGGCGGCUGGCUGUGUCCUGGGCUUUGCUGGGGAAGUGUAGAGCCCUUCCACGGCUUGCAAAGCUAUGUAAGUUGAAGUGUGGAAGGAAGCUGUAGAAGCAAAUAGCUGGAAUGUGCUACAAGUGUGUGAGAGGGCCAGGGCCACUGAAAAAUGAGGCAGGAGCAGUGGAUGGAAACUGGUAUACUCAGUCCAUUAAAUGAAAAAUCUGCUAAAUC